UCUUUUAUUUUUAAAUCACAAGCACACUGGUAUUAGGGGUCUCUGGUAGCCCCCUGUCUCCCCUUGUUUUGUUCCUCUCUCCCCCCUUCCUCUUUCCUGUUUGAUAUAUGCUGGGAAUGAGGUAGGUGGUUGAGUUUCAGUGGGAUAAACAAUCUAAUAAAUAUUGCCUUUAAAAAUAGUCAUCUAUGUUAUUAUCUAUCCUUUUACAACUGAUUAUUAGUAUGUGUAUAAUAUAUCUGAACUAUUUUUGUGAAAUAUCUCUCUGACAUAUUGUUUAUAUGUUUUUCCUUUUGCUACAUGUGGGGGCUAGCAUUAAGAGUGGAGCUAGCAAACGGGAGACUCACCAAACUGUGUUUCUGUUGGUGUGCUUACACAGGUGUGAUAACGUUUUUAUUUACCUUUCUUAAUAUACAUGUUACAUGUCUUGUUUGCCUGUUUGAUAUAUGCUGGGAAUGAGCAUUAAGAGUGGCGCUAGCAAACGGGAGACUCACCAAACUGUGUUUCUGUUGGUGUGCUUACACAGGAAAUAAAUAUCACGUCUCAGCAAGUUGUCCACGGGUCACAUUUAUUACACAACGCAGAAGUUACACCGGUUACAUAAGCAUGGUUCCUGUCGCUGCCUGGUUCCUCAUGCUGUAGAGGAGUGCUGUUAUUAAUCCUGGGUACAACAUGUGGGCCGUGUUGCGGUGGUCACCAGCCAGUUGUGCAUUGUUGUUGUAUCCUGCUGCUGAGGAUCUAUGGCUGGGCAGUUGUUGCAUUGGUUAGGUUAGGUUGUUGGGGAUGAGUACUUGCAUGUGACAGUGAGAGGAUUGGCCGCUGUGGAAAAUCCUCAACCAAUGCAUGAACAAUGACAUAUUCCUGGUCAACUUUGGGGUACAUGAAGUGACUAUUCAUUGUCAACAUUAAAGCACAAAACAGCCGCUGGGUAAAUUAGUUUUGCACAUCUGCUAUAAAAGGGGCCUACACGAAUCAGGAUAUGUCAGAUGUUAACCCCCAUUGCUGAGUACGAUCAAACACGGCUCUCUGUCUGGACCAAUAAGGUAAGACCUUGUUUUGUUUUAUUUUAUGGUGAUUUCAUCACACUUUUGGGUGGAUUCAUUCACUUAGGUUUGAUAUCCUUAAUUAAUUUCAAGUGUGGCUGCUGUUAGGUAAAAAAUUCACACUCAAGUUUACCUUGGACUUCGGAGUUGUGUAUAUGUAAGUAUCUUUUUAUUCAACAAGCUUGUCAGGCUCACUCACAACUUGGCAGAUGACAGUCAAGCAAAGUUAAACACAUCACACAAGGUUUAUAUAGAUUGAAGUUAGCGUUUCUCUCACGCCAAAGCAUUAUUACAGCAGGGAUAACCACAUAGUGGGUUUCCCACGUCUGAGGUCAUCUUGCUAUGCUUUUUUGCAACAUAAUGCAUCAGCAAGGCAGAAAAGAAGGACUACUAGUUCUACUUAUCAGCCCUCGCAUACGCACACACAGAAGGUACACUUUUAAGCACACAUACAGAGAUAGAAAUGUCAGCACUCAAGAAUCAAAGAUAUACAGAGACAGAAAAGCCAUGUUUCAGCACACAAAGGCAUAUGAUUGACACACAUACAUACUUGAUUAUAGUCAG
This is a long non-coding RNA of Clupea harengus (Atlantic herring), 1604 nucleotides long. The record is from Ensembl. Lineage: Eukaryota; Metazoa; Chordata; Actinopteri; Clupeiformes; Clupeidae.